CGCAGGUUUUUGCUUCGGUGAU
RNAcentral lists this microRNA (22 nucleotides) under Caenorhabditis briggsae. Its description in RNAcentral is "cbr-miR-35d-5p". Its record names the gene cbr-miR-35d-5p. The record is from miRBase by way of RNAcentral. Lineage: Eukaryota; Metazoa; Nematoda; Chromadorea; Rhabditida; Rhabditidae.